GACUCUAGCUUUGCCAACACCCUUGGCCAAAGGGUGUGUCUGCAACCAUGACCUCUGUAAUGUAGCAAGGCCCCCACAGCAGGGAAAUUUCUCCCCGUGUCCAGAUGUACUUGAACAAUUGGAAUCUGGGAUGUAAAGUUGAAAAACUACCAAAUUAAGGGAUCCUUCAUAAAAGGCAUCACCGCAUCUGUGCUGGUCUCUUGGAUCUCCAGCUCUUGGGGAAGCAAGCCACUAUGGUGUGGGGACAUUAAAGCAUCUUAUGGGAGAAACCCACUCAGAGAGGAACUUAGGCCAAAAGGCAGAACCACUUUGCUAACCAUGGAAGUGAACCACCUGGGAAGCCGAUUCUCCAGCACCAGUCAAGCCUUCAGAUGACCACAGCCCCAGCAACUUUACGGGAGACCCUGAACCAGAACCUAGCCCCCAAGUUCCUGACUCACAGAAAUUGUUAAGACAUAAUAAAUACUUAUUGAUGUC
Long non-coding RNA from Puma concolor (puma), 477 nucleotides. RefSeq lists it as uncharacterized. The record is from RefSeq and is a predicted model, not a curated record. Lineage: Eukaryota; Metazoa; Chordata; Mammalia; Carnivora; Felidae.